RNAcentral lists this ribosomal RNA (498 nucleotides) under uncultured bacterium. Its description in RNAcentral is "partial 16S ribosomal RNA". It matches the Rfam family "Bacterial small subunit ribosomal RNA", at positions 30 to 523 of the family's 1533-position model. The record is from RNAcentral.
AUUGAACGCUGGCGGCAUGCCUUACACAUGCAAGUCGAACGGUAACAGGUCUUCGGAUGCUGACGAGUGGCGAACGGGUGAGUAAUACAUCGGAACGUGCCUAGUAGUGGGGGAUAACUACUCGAAAGAGUGGCUAAUACCGCAUGAGAUCUACGGAUGAAAGCAGGGGAUCGCAAGACCUUGUGCUACUAGAGCGGCCGAUGGCAGAUUAGGUAGUUGGUGGGAUAAAAGCUUACCAAGCCGACGAUCUGUAGCUGGUCUGAGAGGACGAUAAGCCACACUGGGACUGAGACACGGCCCAGACUCCUACGGGAGGCAGCAGUGGGGAAUUUUGGACAAUGGGCGCAAGCCUGAUCCAGCAAUGCCGAGUGCAGGAUGAAGGCCUUCGGGUUGUAAACUGCUUUUGUACGGAACGAAAAGCCCUGGGUUAAUACCCUGGGGUCAUGACGGUACCGUAAGAAUAAGCACCGGCUAACUACGUGCCAGCCGCCGCAGUAA